GCCCUGGUAGCUCAGUGGUAGAGCAGACGCCUGAAGAGCGUCGUGUCGUCAGUUCAAUUCUGACCCGGGGCACCA
This 75-nucleotide transfer RNA is filed under the name bacterium. RNAcentral's name for it is "tRNA-Phe". It matches the Rfam family "tRNA". From Rfam's summary of the family: Transfer RNA (tRNA) molecules are approximately 80 nucleotides in length. Their secondary structure includes four short double-helical elements and three loops (D, anti-codon, and T loops). The record is from RNAcentral. RNAcentral also lists the same sequence under 3 other names.